GCAUGUCUAAGUAUAAGCAAUUAUACCGUGAAACUGCGAAUGGCUCAUUAAAUCAGUUAUCGUUUAUUUGAUAGUACCUUACUACUUGGAUAACCGUGGUAAUUCUAGAGCUAAUACAUGCUAAAAACCCCGACUUCGGGAGGGGUGUAUUUAUUAGAUAAAAAACCAAUGCCCUUCGGGGCUCUUUGGUGAUUCAUGAUAACUUAACGGAUCGCAUGGCCUUGCGCCGGCGACGGUUCAUUCAAAUUUCUGCCCUAUCAACUUUCGAUGGUAAGGUAUUGGCUUACCAUGGUUUCAACGGGUAACGGGGAAUUAGGGUUCGAUUCCGGAGAGGGAGCCUGAGAAACGGCUACCACAUCCAAGGAAGGCAGCAGGCGCGCAAAUUACCCAAUCCCGACACGGGGAGGUAGUGACAAUAAAUACUGAUACAGGGCUCUUUUGGGUCUUGUAAUCGGAAUGAGUACAAUUUAAACCCCUUAACGAGGAACAAUUGGAGGGCAAGUCUGGUGCCAGCAGCCGCGGUAAUUCCAGCUCCAAUAGCGUAUAUUAAAGUUGUUGCAGUUAAAAAGCUCGUAGUUGAACCUUGGGCCUGGCUGGCCGGUCCGCCUCACCGCGUGUACUGGUCCGGCCGGGCCUUUCCUUCUGGAGAGCCGCAUGCCCUUACUGGGGUGUGCCGGGGAACAAGGACUUUUACUUUGAAAAAAUUAAAAUGUUCAAACAAGGCCUUUGCUCGAAUACGUUAGCAUGGAAUAAUAGAAUAGGACGUGCGGUCCUAUUUUGUUGGUUUCUAGGACCGCCGUAAUGAUUAAUAGGGAUAGUCGGGGGCAUCAGUAUUCAAUUGUCAGAGGUGAAAUUCUUGGAUUUAUUGAAGACUAACUACUGCGAAAGCAUUUGCCAAGGAUGUUUUCAUUAAUCAGUGAACGAAAGUUAGGGGAUCGAAGACGAUCAGAUACCGUCGUAGUCUUAACCGUAAACUAUGCCGACUAGGGAUCGGGCGAUGUUUCUAUCUUGACUCGCUCGGCACCUUACGAGAAA
Molecule: ribosomal RNA, 1035 nt
Filed under: Pseudoastrosphaeriellopsis kaveriana
Lineage: Eukaryota; Fungi; Ascomycota; Dothideomycetes; Pleosporales; Pseudoastrosphaeriellaceae
Description: SSU rRNA
Rfam family: Eukaryotic small subunit ribosomal RNA
Source: RNAcentral